ACAACAGGUGGAGCCUGCGGUUUAAUCGGACUCAACGCCGGGAAACUCACCAGAUAAGACAGCUGAAUGAUAGUCGGGCUGAAGACUCUACUUGACUAGCUGAGAGGAGGUGCAUGGCCGUCGUCAGUUCGUACUGUGAAGCAUCCUGUUAAGUCAGGCAACGAGCGAGACCCACGCCAACAGUUGCCAGCUCGUCCUCCGGGAUGGUGGGGACACUGUUGGGACCGCCUCUGCUAAAGAGGAGGAAGGAAUGGGCAACGGUAGGUCAGCAUGCCCCGAAUUAUCUGGGCUACACGCGGGCUACAAUGGGUGGGACAAUGGGUAUCGACACCGAAAGGUGAAGGCAAUCUCCUAAACCCAUCCGUAGUUCGGAUUGUGGGCUGCAACCCGCCCACAUGAAGCUGGAAUCUGUAGUAAUCGUGUCUCAAAAUGGCACGGUGAAUAUGUCCCUGCUCCUU
This 458-nucleotide ribosomal RNA is filed under the name uncultured Methanomicrobiales archaeon. Its description in RNAcentral is "bacterial SSU rRNA". It matches the Rfam family "Archaeal small subunit ribosomal RNA", at positions 881 to 1338 of the family's 1478-position model. The record is from RNAcentral. Lineage: Archaea; Methanobacteriati; Methanobacteriota; Methanomicrobia; Methanomicrobiales.